Molecule: long non-coding RNA, 325 nt
Filed under: Olea europaea (common olive)
Lineage: Eukaryota; Viridiplantae; Streptophyta; Magnoliopsida; Lamiales; Oleaceae
Description: long non-coding RNA (OEUR_LNC013057)
Source: RNAcentral
CUAAUUGUACCAUAUUUCAAACAGUAUAAUAAAUCUGGACUCGCAGAAUUUAUAACAUGGAUCAAGACUACUAGUAAGAUUCAAGCAGUAUGUCAUAAUCAAAACUGCCUUGAUCCAAGAAUAAAAUUAGAAAGCAAGAUAGCAAACGCGAGAUCUUUAAAAUUUCCUCGCAAAACAUAAAAUCUAAUUUAACAUACUCAGCCAACUAAGAUAAGUCAAAAUCGCCAACAAUGGAGAAACUAUACCAGCAUCCAUAUUUCCAUUUUCAUUCAAAACUAAUCCAGAAAAUCACUAUGCAACAAGCGUACUGGCAGUGGUAGACUCG